AACUCGGUGUUUCUCAACACCACCUAGACAAAGAAUCGGAUGUGCU
This is a non-coding RNA of Chlamydomonas reinhardtii, 46 nucleotides long. NCBI's taxonomy places the organism in Eukaryota, Viridiplantae, Chlorophyta, Chlorophyceae, Chlamydomonadales, Chlamydomonadaceae. The record is from Rfam.